GAGUUGAUUCUGGCUCAGGAUGAACGCUGGCGGCAUGCCUAACACAUGCAAGUCGAACUAGCUUAGCGCAAGUUAGAGUGGGUGGCGGACGGGUGAGGAACACGUAAGAACCUACCCUUUGGGGAGGAUAACUGCUGGAAACGGCAGCUAAUACUCCAUAUGCUGAGGAGUGAAAUCGAAGAAUUCGGCCAAGGGAUGGGCUUGCGUCUGAUUAGCUAGUUGGUGAGGUAAAUGCUUACCAGGCGACGAUCAGUAGCUGGUCUGAGAGGAUGAUCAGCCACACUGGGACUGAGACACGGCCAGACUCCUACGGGAGGCAGCAGUGAGGAAUUUUCCGCAAUGGGCGAAAGCCUGACGGGCAAUGCCGCGUGAAGGAUGAAGGCCUGUGGGUUGUAAACUUCUUUUCUCAGAGACGAAAUCUGACGGUAUCUGAGGAAUAAGCAUCGGCUAACUCUGUGCCAGCAGCCGCGGUAAU
Molecule: ribosomal RNA, 475 nt
Filed under: uncultured Chlorophyta
Lineage: Eukaryota; Viridiplantae; Chlorophyta
Description: bacterial SSU rRNA
Rfam family: Bacterial small subunit ribosomal RNA
Source: RNAcentral